Molecule: long non-coding RNA, 1719 nt
Organism: Lotus japonicus
Lineage: Eukaryota; Viridiplantae; Streptophyta; Magnoliopsida; Fabales; Fabaceae
Exons: 6
Source: RefSeq, a predicted model, not a curated record
UUCUUUAACAGGCUAGCAGUUUCUGCAAGAAGGUGUGUUCAAGAGCUGUGAGAAAGACGCGCGACAAGGAUUCAGGUUGAGAGAAGCUCUCUCUGCGACAAGCUUUAUCUCAUGCCGAGACUCAAGCAUCUUCUUCCACAUCAUCUCCAAUUCUCACUCUGUUUUUUUGCAGCAGAGACAAGGUUUGUGCCCCAAUAUUCCAAAAGUGGUACAUUUCUUAGGAUUUAUUAUCCUAAUUUUACUUAAUUCUUCAGUAGUUGCAAGGAUUUUAAUUCAACAAUUUCAUGACCACUCAAGUUUAGGGUUCUCUGAUUUCGAUUCUAGUAUGAUUAUUUUUCUUGUGAAUAUGAUUUGUUUUUUAUUCUUUGCAUUUAAGUCAACUUGUGUGCUUGGUUAAGAAAUAUUGGGGUUGAUGUACAUAAAGCAGGAAGUGAUGCAAGGGAAUUUUUAAGUGCCCACCAUGUGUUCGAUAAAUUGUCAAUAUGAGUUCAAGUGUAAUUAAACGAAAUGAAAUAACAAUUUGUGCUUUGUGUGCAUGUGUGAAUGCCUUUUAUUGCUAAAAUUUUCUGUUAACAUCAUGGUAGCUUUGCAUUUAGGGCUACUUUACAAGCCUGUGAUGUUGCUAUUGAAUUUGAAAGCAUUGAAAAGCUAAAUGUAGUAGAGCUGAAAUUCCAAGAUAUCAUCAAUCCUCUCUCACUUGAUGCUUCCACGGGAAGAUUGACAACAUGGAUAAAAAAUGGAACUUGAUUCAACACUAGGAUUGAUGAUCCCCAAUGCUCAACUGCUAAGGAGUUAAAAAUGAUGAAAGAUUAGGUGAAUUGAUGGUAACCUUAGCCCCUUCCUUUCUAUGUGUUUUUGUUAUUUAGUUUAAUGAAUAUGAAGGCUAAGAAAUAUUAGAUGAUCAUUACAACUUUCAAAUAGUUUCUUGGAGCAAUUUAAUUCAAAAUCACUAUUACUUAUUGUCAUCAUUAUUCAUGUCUAAUGUACUAAUCGAAGGAAAUUGCAAGGAGCUGCUACAACACUUUCAGAUGCUACGCUUACGAAGUCUCCCAAUAUGGCUUACCUCCCUGGGGGAAUCAACUUGCUUAUGGCUCUUAAUGCUCGCUAUUGAUUGAUGUUCUGAUUCCGGGACUAGAAAGUGUUGGUUGAUUAUAGUUCAAUUAUCAGCUGCUAUAAUGAGAAGACCAAAGAAGAAGAUCUGAAAGCAAUGCAAGUGGAUACGACAGUUUUGGGCCUUUCACAAGAAGAGGCUGAAAAUAAACCAUCAUACAUUGCUUCCAUGGGAGUGUACAUAUUCAAAAUGUAUUAGAAAGAAAGAUAAGGGAUUCAGGUUUCAUCCAACCAAUGAAGAGCUCAUAAGUACUACCUCCAACAGAAGGUUCUUGACAGCUAUUUCUAUGCUAUAGCCAUUGCGGAUGCUGAUUUGCACAAGUGUGAACCAUGGCCAGUUAGAUAGAGCUGCUCAUAGAAUGGGUACAAAUAUCAUUCGUAUUCAGGAACACAUACUAAACCUGGGAUGCUUCUGGCAGUGCUUUCUACUUAUUUUAGGUAUCAAUUAGAUAACAUCUAAUGUCUGACGACCUUUGUUAAUUUUAUCACUUUCAAGGCUUUUUGUGCAUGUUGCAGCUCAAUUAUAUAUAUAUAUAUAUAUUGAUUAGUUUUGUUUUGUGAAUUGGAACUGUCACAUGUGUUUUGACAAUUGAUAUAGUGCUUAAUAGU